This 275-nucleotide unclassified non-coding RNA is filed under the name Raphidiopsis mediterranea CHAB3326. Its description in RNAcentral is "partial contains 16S ribosomal RNA and 16S-23S ribosomal RNA intergenic spacer". The stretch from base 1 to 98 matches the Rfam family "Bacterial small subunit ribosomal RNA", at positions 1434 to 1533 of the family's 1533-position model. Lineage: Bacteria; Bacillati; Cyanobacteriota; Cyanophyceae; Nostocales; Aphanizomenonaceae. The record is from RNAcentral.
UUUACCGUAAAAGAGGGGAGCCUAAGGUAGGACUGGUGACUGGGGUGAAGUCGUAACAAGGUAGCCGUACCGGAAGGUGUGGCUGGAUCACCUCCUUUUAGGGAGACCUACCCAUUGAAGAAUCGAAAGCCGCAGGCGAAUAGAGAAUCAACUGGUCUACUCUAGGUCGGUGACGAAUUGGUCAAGUCUCUUUCAAAGUAUUAUAUUUCCGGUGAUUCCCAGCAACUAGGAAAGACCUAGACUGCUGGUGAGAACCAGCCAGAACCUUGAAAAAA